AAUCCAACUGGCAAAAAAAAAAAUGCAAAAAAAGAGAUUUUUUUUUCCAAUUUUCGUCCGAAACGGAACGGUUUUGCUUAAAUAGGUAAACCAGGGCCCGGAUAU
Molecule: small RNA, 105 nt
Filed under: Eutreptiella gymnastica
Lineage: Eukaryota; Euglenozoa; Euglenophyceae; Eutreptiales; Eutreptiaceae
Description: partial transfer-messenger RNA
Source: RNAcentral